This 253-nucleotide ribosomal RNA is filed under the name uncultured bacterium. Its description in RNAcentral is "partial 16S ribosomal RNA". It matches the Rfam family "Bacterial small subunit ribosomal RNA", at positions 524 to 776 of the family's 1533-position model. The record is from RNAcentral.
UACAGAGGUCUCAAGCGUUGUUCGGAUUCAUUGGGCUUAAAGGGUGCGUAGGCGGUGCGGAAAGUUGGGUGUGAAAUCCCUCGGCUCAACCGAGGAACUGCGCUCAAAACUACCGUACUUGAGGAAGAUAGAGGUGAGCGGAACUUACGGUGGAGCGGUGAAAUGCGUUGAUAUCGUAAGGAACACCCGUGGCGAAAGCGGCUCACUGGGUCUUUUCUGACGCUGAUGCGCGAAAGCUAGGGGAGCAAACGGG